AGCAUGGUCUUAGCUUGCUAAGGCCGAUGGCGACCGGCGCACGGGUGAGUAACACGUAUCCAACCUGCCGUCUACUCUUGGACAGCCUUCUGAAAGGAAGAUUAAUACAAGAUGGCAUCAUGAGUCCGCAUGUUCACAUGAUUAAAGGUAUUCCGGUAGACGAUGGGGAUGCGUUCCAUUAGAUAGUAGGCGGGGUAACGGCCCACCUAGUCUUCGAUGGAUAGGGGUUCUGAGAGGAAGGUCCCCCACAUUGGAACUGAGACACGGUCCAAACUCCUACGGGAGGCAGCAGUGAGGAAUAUUGGUCAAUGGGCGCAGGCCUGAACCAGCCAAGUAGCGUGAAGGAUGACUGCCCUAUGGGUUGUAAACUUCUUUUAUAAAGGAAUAAAGUCGGGUAUGGAUACCCGUUUGCAUGUACUUUAUGAAUAAGGAUCGGCUAACUCCGUGCCAGCAGCCGCGGUAAUACGGAGGAUCCGAGCGUUAUCCGGAUUUAUUGGGUUUAAAGGGAGCGUAGAUGGAUGUUUAAGUCAGUUGUGAAAGUUUGCGGCUCAACCGUAAAAUUGCAGUUGAUACUGGAUAUCUUGAGUGCAGUUGAGGCAGGCGGAAUUCGUGGUGUAGCGGUGAAAUGCUUAGAUAUCACGAAGAACUCCGAUUGCGAAGGCAGCCUGCUA
RNAcentral lists this ribosomal RNA (671 nucleotides) under uncultured Bacteroidales bacterium. RNAcentral describes it as "bacterial SSU rRNA". It matches the Rfam family "Bacterial small subunit ribosomal RNA", at positions 68 to 731 of the family's 1533-position model. Lineage: Bacteria; Pseudomonadati; Bacteroidota; Bacteroidia; Bacteroidales. The record is from RNAcentral.